RNAcentral lists this ribosomal RNA (403 nucleotides) under uncultured bacterium. RNAcentral's name for it is "bacterial SSU rRNA". It matches the Rfam family "Bacterial small subunit ribosomal RNA", at positions 976 to 1380 of the family's 1533-position model. The record is from RNAcentral.
UGGGCUUGACAUGUGGGUGACCGCCGUGGAAACACGGCUUCCCUUCGGGGCACCUUCACAGGUGGUGCAUGGCUGUCGUCAGCUCGUGUCGUGAGAUGUUGGGUUAAGUCCCGCAACGAGCGCAACCCCCGUCGCAUGUUGCCAGCAUUUAGUUGGGGACUCAUGCGAGACUGCCGGUGACAAACCGGAGGAAGGUGGGGAUGACGUCAAGUCAUCAUGCCCCUUAUGUUCAGGGCUACACACGUGCUACAUUGGCGCAUACAGAGGGCUGCGAUACCGCGAGGUGGAGCGAAUCCCUUAAAGUGCGUCUCGGUUCGGAUUGCAGGCUGAAACCCGCCUGCAUGAAGGUGGAGUUGCUAGUAAUCGCGGAUCAGCAUUGCCGCGGUGAAUACGUUCCCGGGCC